Molecule: transfer RNA, 74 nt
Filed under: Microthrixaceae bacterium
Lineage: Bacteria; Bacillati; Actinomycetota; Acidimicrobiia; Acidimicrobiales; Microthrixaceae
Also listed under: 1 other name
Description: tRNA-Cys
Rfam family: tRNA
About the family: Transfer RNA (tRNA) molecules are approximately 80 nucleotides in length.
Source: RNAcentral
GGCCACGUGGCCGAGUGGUUAGGCAGAGGCCUGCAAAGCCUUGUACACCGGUUCGAAUCCGGUCGUGGCCUCCA